GGCUGACAACGCUGAGCACCGGGUACGCUGGAGCUGGUGCAAAUUUUGCAUAAAGAGUUCAUUUUGGGUUAUUCAAAAAAGAAGGCAUUGGUGCAGAUCCUCGUCUACAAAUUCAGGAGCGAGAAGUCGAGAUCCCUUCAGAACCUGCUAGGAGGUGGCUCUGCAGGUCCAUUGGCCAAGCUCUACGGGAAGUUCACUUGCGACCCUGUCAGACACAGGGAGAACCAGUAACUGCUCAGGCUUUUCCUCUGACACACCAACGAUUCAACGCAGCCGUGAAACUAUGCAAAGGCACAGCCCAAGCUUUCACCAAGGCAGCAGCCCCACCGGGGCCAUUUCUUCCUGCUGCAGACCCUGUGGCCUCCACCACUACUCCUGGCUGUCUGAUUCAUCAUUUAACUAUUCUACCUCCUCGCAGACAUUCAGGAAGGACUAGCUGGUGAGUAACUCAGCAGGACAGGGGGAAAGAACUGAUUCAAGAU
Molecule: long non-coding RNA, 482 nt
Filed under: Chinchilla lanigera (long-tailed chinchilla)
Lineage: Eukaryota; Metazoa; Chordata; Mammalia; Rodentia; Chinchillidae
Description: lncRNA (ENSCLAG00000023728.1)
Source: RNAcentral